This 467-nucleotide ribosomal RNA is filed under the name uncultured bacterium. RNAcentral's name for it is "bacterial SSU rRNA". It matches the Rfam family "Bacterial small subunit ribosomal RNA", at positions 329 to 792 of the family's 1533-position model. The record is from RNAcentral.
UGCCAGACUCCUACGGGAGGCAGCAGUGAGGAAUAUUGGUCAAUGGGCGCAAGCCUGAACCAGCCAAGUCGCGUGAGGGAAGACGGCCCUACGGGUUGUAAACCUCUUUUGCCGGGGAGCAAGCCUGAGCACGUGUGCCCAGGCGGAGAGUACCCGGAGAAAAAGCAUCGGCUAACUCCGUGCCAGCAGCCGCGGUAAUACGGAGGAUGCGAGCGUUAUCCGGAUUUAUUGGGUUUAAAGGGAGCGUAGGUGGAUUGUUAAGUCAGUUGUGAAAGUUUGCGGCUCAACCGUAAAAUUGCAGUUGAAACUGGCAGUCUUGAGUACAGUAGAGGUGGGCGGAAUUCGUGGUGUAGCGGUGAAAUGCUUAGAUAUCACGAAGAACUCCGAUUGCGAAGGCAGUUCACUGGACUGCAACUGACACUGAGGCUCGAAAGUGUGGGUAUCAAACAGGAUUAGAUACCCUAGUA